Molecule: ribosomal RNA, 180 nt
Filed under: uncultured beta proteobacterium
Lineage: Bacteria; Pseudomonadati; Pseudomonadota; Betaproteobacteria
Description: partial 16S ribosomal RNA
Rfam family: Bacterial small subunit ribosomal RNA
Source: RNAcentral
AGCAGUGGGGAAUUUUGGACAAUGGGCGAAAGCCUGAUCCAGCAAUGCCGCGUGAGUGAAGAAGGCCUUCGGGUUGUAAAGCUCUUUUGUCAGGGAAGAAACGGUGAGGGCUAAUAUCCCUUGCUAAUGACGGUACCUGAAGAAUAAGCACCGGCUAACUACGUGCCAGCAGCCGCGGUA